AUUGAACGCUGGCGGCAUGCCUUACACAUGCAAGUCGAACGGCAGCACGGGGCAACCUGGUGGCGAGUGGCGAACGGGUGAGUAAUGCAUCGGAACGUACCUUUCAGUGGGGGAUAACGUAGCGAAAGUUACGCUAAUACCGCAUAUUCUGUGAGCAGGAAAGCAGGGGAUCGCAAGACCUUGCGCUGAUCGAGCGGCCGAUGUCUGAUUAGCUAGUUGGUGAGGUAAAGGCUCACCAAGGCGACGAUCUGUAGCGGGUCUGAGAGGUUGAUCCGCCACACUGGAACUGAGACACGGUCCAGACUCCUACGGGAGGCAGCAGUGGGGAAUUUUGGACAAUGGGGGCAACCCUGAUCCAGCCAUGCCGCGUGAGUGAAGAAGGCCUUCGGGUUGUAAAGCUCUUUCGGCCGGGAAGAAAUCGCACGGGCUAAUACCCUGUGUGGAUGACGGUACCGGAAUAAGAAGCACCGGCUAACUACGUGCCAGCCGCCGCAGUAA
This 498-nucleotide ribosomal RNA is filed under the name uncultured bacterium. RNAcentral describes it as "partial 16S ribosomal RNA". It matches the Rfam family "Bacterial small subunit ribosomal RNA", at positions 30 to 523 of the family's 1533-position model. The record is from RNAcentral.